Peromyscus californicus insignis is the source of this 1169-nucleotide RNA transcript. It is a transcript of the gene named zinc finger protein 511, with no coding region annotated. NCBI's taxonomy places the organism in Eukaryota, Metazoa, Chordata, Mammalia, Rodentia, Cricetidae. The record is from RefSeq and is a predicted model, not a curated record. The transcript has 6 exons.
UCCGCGCGCCGCGUUCCGCCCCGCAGGGUUGCCACAGGAAGUUAAUAGAUGUCACGUCCGUCUCCGCCCCGCCGACGGUGGCCGAAGGGCUGCGGCGGCCGUGGAGAUGUUGCUUCCCCCUGCGCUCUAUUCCCGCCUGGCUGGGCCGCCCGGGGCAGCCGAACCGCUGCCGGUGGAGCGGAGCCCUGCAGCUGGGGCGGCGCCCUUCUGGUUCACACCGCGCCCCGUGCGCUUCCCGCGGGAUCACGAGUUCUUUGAGGAUGGGGAUGUGCAGCGGCACCUCUACCUGCAGGACAUGCUCACGCAAGUGUCCGAGACGCCGGAGAAGUCCAUGGUGCCUGAGUUCACCUGUCAGGUGGCUGGCUGCUGCCAAGUGUUUGCCGCCCUAGAGGACUACCAGCAUCACUAUCACAUGUUGCAUGGGAACACCUGCUCCCUCUGCAGCCGUGCCUUCCCCUCUGGGCAUUUGUUGGACGUCCACAUCCUGGAAUGGCAUGACUCUCUGUUCCAGAUCCUGGCCCAGAGGCAAGAUAUGUACCAGUGCUUGGUUGAAGGCUGCCCGCAGAAGUUCAAGACCAGCCAAGACCGGAAGGAUCACAUGGAAAAAAGUGUCUUCCUUGAGAGUCUAGUACUGGGGAACCAGGUACAAGUGCUGCCCACUGCUUUGUCCUCUACAGCCCAGCCAUGCCAGCUGCUCCAGACCCACCAGCCAGAGCCCUGAAAGAUGACAGUGACGCCAUGGAUAUCUGCUCUGAACCUGCUGCCCCACCUCCCUGCAGGCGGACCUACAGCCACAGAAUACCUUCUACUGUCUGUUUUGGCCAGGGUGCAGCCAGAGGCUUUAAAAGCACUAAGAAAAGAAACAAACACCACUGAUGGAUCCUGGUGAGGAAAGCCAGAUGGACUUUCGGGGAGUGGUGUGCCAGGACCUUUCUCUUGCUUCUGGAUAGCUGCCCUGAGCUGGACCAUUGCCACCUCCUUAUUUCCAUGUCUGAGCACAUGAAGCAGCCAGUGUGUAGAAACUCAGAAUCUGCAGAUUCCAGAAAUAACCAGGACACACUGAAGGAAUGAGAUGGAGACACCGCCUACCUGCUUCGUGGGGGCUGCUCUAAGAAUGUCACUAUUAAACAUAUGAAAUAAAUUUUUUCACUGAUGAUCAGAAAAGGGAA